Malaya genurostris is the source of this 160-nucleotide long non-coding RNA. RefSeq lists it as uncharacterized. The transcript is spliced from 3 exons. Lineage: Eukaryota; Metazoa; Arthropoda; Insecta; Diptera; Culicidae. The record is from RefSeq and is a predicted model, not a curated record.
UCCAGCAAGUGCUAUCGUAGCCAACAUCUGGGGCAUUUGGUGGGCAAUCAGAUCGCUCAGAUGAUGAUAUUCUGAUCGAUACUUUGCGGGGAAGUGCGGUAAAGGAUACUGAAUAAACAAGUAAAUGAUGCUGGCCACAGUUUCAUGACGUCAUAGCAGG